Molecule: ribosomal RNA, 428 nt
Filed under: uncultured bacterium
Lineage: Bacteria
Description: partial 16S ribosomal RNA
Rfam family: Bacterial small subunit ribosomal RNA
Source: RNAcentral
GUCGAGAAUCUUCCGCAAUGCGCGAAAGCGUGACGGAGCGACACCGCGUGAUGGAUGAAGUCCUUCGGGGCGUAAACAUCUUUUAUAAAGGAGGAAAUUUUUGACGUUACUUUAUGAAUAAGGGGCUCCCAAUCUCGUGCCAGCAGGAGCGGUAAUACGAGAGCCUCAAGCGUUAUCCGGAAUCAUUGGGCGUAAAGGGUGCGUAGGUGGUUUGAUUAGUCUCCCGUUAAAACUUCGAGCUUAACUCGAAAAGAGCGGGGGAAACGGUCAAACUAGAGUAUGUGAGAGGUGGGUGGAACGCAUGGUGUAGGGGUGAAAUUCGUUGAUAUCAUGGGGAACACCAAAAGCGAAGGCAGCACACUGGCACAUCACUGACACUGAGGCACGAAACCUAAGGUAGCGAAUGGGAUUAGAAACCCCUGUAGUCC